UUGAAAGUGAAACCAGUUUUUUUUUUCAUGCAGGCUCUGUCAAUCAUAGCCAGGGGAGGUGUGGCUAGGGCUGCAUAAACAGAAACAAAGAGAUUUAACUCCGAAAUGACAGUGAAUUGAGCAGUGAAAUUGCAGGGGAAUGAUCUAUACACUACAACUGCUUUAUUUAGCUAGAGUAACUUAGGUGACUAUAGUGUUCCUUUAAUGGAAGUUUCAUACAAAUAUUUGAGUUAUGAGUGCGCUAUAUAAAU
Non-coding RNA from Pelobates cultripes (western spadefoot toad), 251 nucleotides. NCBI's taxonomy places the organism in Eukaryota, Metazoa, Chordata, Amphibia, Anura, Pelobatidae. The record is from the annotation of a GenBank genome assembly.